This 480-nucleotide ribosomal RNA is filed under the name Acrobeloides sp. Sourhope farm. RNAcentral's name for it is "SSU rRNA". It matches the Rfam family "Eukaryotic small subunit ribosomal RNA", at positions 77 to 555 of the family's 1831-position model. The record is from RNAcentral. Lineage: Eukaryota; Metazoa; Nematoda; Chromadorea; Rhabditida; Cephalobidae.
AAUCGUGAAACCGCGAAUGGCUCAUUAUAACAGCUAUAAUUUACUUGAUCUUGACACAAUCCUACUUGGAUAACUGUGGUAAUUCUAGAGCUAAUACAUGCAUUAAAGCUCUGACCUCACGGGAAGAGUGCAUUUAUUAGAACAAAACCAAGCGGCUUCGGCUGUUUCUGGUUGACUCAUAGUAACUGAGCUGAUCGCAUGGUCUUGCACCGGCGACGUGUCUUUCAAGUAUCUGCCGUAUCAACUUUCGAUGGUAGUGUAUCUGACUACCAUGGUGAUCACGCGUAACGGAGAAUAAGGGUUCGGCUCCGGAGAGUUCGCCUGAGAAAUCGCGAACACAUCUAAGGAAGGCAGCAGGCGCGAAAAUUACCCACUCUCAGCACGAGGAGGUAGUGACGAAAAAUAACGAGACCGUUCUCUUAUGAGGCCGGUCAUCGGAAUGGGUACGAUUUAAACCCUUUAACGAGUAUCUAUAGAGGC